CCUACGGGAGGCAGCAGUGGGGGAUAUUGCACAAUGGGGGAAACCCUGAUGCAGCGACGCCGCGUGGGUGAAGAAGCGCCUCGGCGCGUAAAGCCCUGUCAGCAGGGAAGAAAAUGACGGUACCUGAAGAAGAAGCCCCGGCUAACUACGUGCCAGCAGCCGCGGUAAUACGUAGGGGGCAAGCGUUAUCCGGAUUUACUGGGUGUAAAGGGGGCGCAGACGGCGAAGCAAGCCAGGAGUGAAAGCCCGGGGCCCAACCCCGGGACUGCUCUUGAAACUGCGUGGCUAGAGUGCAGGAGGGGCAGGCGGAAUUCCUGGUGUAGCGGUGAAAUGCGUAGAUAGCAGGAGGAACACCGGUGGCGAAGGCGGCCUGCUGGACUGCAACUGACGUUGAGGCCCGAAAGCGUGGGGAGCAAACAGGAUUAGAUACCCCUGUAGUC
Molecule: ribosomal RNA, 440 nt
Filed under: uncultured bacterium
Lineage: Bacteria
Description: partial 16S ribosomal RNA
Rfam family: Bacterial small subunit ribosomal RNA
Source: RNAcentral